AGUGAACGCUGGCGGUAGGCCUAACACAUGCAAGUCGAACGGCAGCACAGUAAGAGCUUGCUCUUACGGGUGGCGAGUGGCGGACGGGUGAGGAAUACAUCGGAAUCUACUUUUUCGUGGGGGAUAACGUAGGGAAACUUACGCUAAUACCGCAUACGACCUACGGGUGAAAGCAGGGGAUCUUCGGACCUUGCGCGAUUGAAUGAGCCGAUGUCGGAUUAGCUAGUUGGCGGGGUAAAGGCCCACCAAGGCGACGAUCCGUAGCUGGUCUGAGAGGAUGAUCAGCCACACUGGAACUGAGACAAGGUCCAGAAUCCGACGGGAGGCAGCAGUGGGGAAUAUUGGAAAAUGGGCGCAAGCCUGAUCCAGCCAUACCGCGUGGGUGAAGAAGGCCUUCGGGUUGUAAAGCCCUUUUGUUGGGAAAGAAAAGCAGCAGGUUAAUACCCCGCUGUUCUGACGGUACCCAAAGAAUAAGCACCGGCUAACUUCGUG
RNAcentral lists this ribosomal RNA (492 nucleotides) under uncultured bacterium. RNAcentral's name for it is "partial 16S ribosomal RNA". It matches the Rfam family "Bacterial small subunit ribosomal RNA", at positions 29 to 507 of the family's 1533-position model. The record is from RNAcentral.